This 65-nucleotide transfer RNA is filed under the name Phloeopora testacea. RNAcentral's name for it is "tRNA-Ala". It matches the Rfam family "tRNA". From Rfam's summary of the family: Transfer RNA (tRNA) molecules are approximately 80 nucleotides in length. Their secondary structure includes four short double-helical elements and three loops (D, anti-codon, and T loops). Further hydrogen bonds mediate the characteristic L-shaped molecular structure. tRNAs have two regions of fundamental functional importance: the anti-codon, which is responsible for specific mRNA codon recognition, and the 3' end, to which the tRNAs corresponding amino acid is attached (by aminoacyl-tRNA synthetases). tRNAs cope with the degeneracy of the genetic code in two manners: having more than one tRNA (with a specific anti-codon) for a particular amino acid; and 'wobble' base-pairing, i.e. permitting non-standard base-pairing at the 3rd anti-codon position. The record is from RNAcentral. Lineage: Eukaryota; Metazoa; Arthropoda; Insecta; Coleoptera; Staphylinidae.
AGGAUAAUAGUUAAUUAUAACAUUUAAUUUGCAAUUAAAAAGUAUUGGUUCAUCAAUUUAUCUUA